UACGGAGGAUGCAAGCGUUAUCCGGAAUUAUUGGGCGUAAAGCGUCCGCAGGUGGUUGAACAAGUCAGCUGUUAAAGCGUGGGGCUAAACCCCAUAAGGGCGGUUGAAACUGUUUAACUAGAGUUUGGUAGGGGUAGAGGGAAUUCCCAGUGUAGCGGUGAAAUGCGUAGAUAUUGGGAAGAACACCGGUGGCGAAAGCGCUCUACUGGGCCUGAACUGACACUGAGGGACGAAAGCUAGGGGAGCGAAAGGG
Molecule: ribosomal RNA, 253 nt
Filed under: uncultured bacterium
Lineage: Bacteria
Description: partial 16S ribosomal RNA
Rfam family: Bacterial small subunit ribosomal RNA
Source: RNAcentral